GAUGAACGCUAGCGGCAGGCUUAAUACAUGCAAGUCAAGGGGGUAGCAAUACAACCGGCGCACGGGUGAGUAACGCGUACACAACAUACCAUAUACUGGGGUAUAGCUUUGGGAAACUGAGGGUAAUCCCCCACUAACAUUGCGAGAGGGCGAUCUGAUUGCAAUUAAAGUUUACGGUCGGUAUAUGAUUGGUGUGCGUUGUAUUAGCUAGUUGGUAGGGUAACGGGCCUACCAAGGCGACGAUCAAUAGCUGGCGUGAGAGCGCGACCAGCCACACUGGAACUGAGACACGGUCCAGACUCCUACGGGAGGCAGCAGUAGGGAAUAUUGGACAAUGGAGGAAACUCUGAUCCAGCCAUGCCGCGUGAUAGAUGAAGG
This 378-nucleotide ribosomal RNA is filed under the name uncultured bacterium. Its description in RNAcentral is "bacterial SSU rRNA". It matches the Rfam family "Bacterial small subunit ribosomal RNA", at positions 28 to 414 of the family's 1533-position model. The record is from RNAcentral.